Molecule: long non-coding RNA, 1041 nt
Filed under: Strigops habroptila (Kakapo)
Lineage: Eukaryota; Metazoa; Chordata; Aves; Psittaciformes; Psittacidae
Description: lncRNA (ENSSHBG00005002121.1)
Source: RNAcentral
UAUUCAGUGAUGUUCUCUCCUGUUGCCAGCAUUUUAGGUGCAUUUUACAUAUGGAAAUAAAAUUAAAAUGUUGAGUGCAGGUAUCCAGCUGAGUUCCCGCAUGUCAGAUGGAUGUCUAAUACAAAUUAAGGCACAUGUUGGGUUUAGAUUGUGAUCAUUACGGAUUACCUGCAGAGUACAGAUGGGAACAUUAAAGAGGAUCCAGAUAGCAAAAAAUUUUCUGCUUACAAGGGUGUAAGAUAUCUGAAUCUGAAAAGAAACCAGAAAGGAAUGGGAAAAGUUCUUACAAACUCUAUUUUGAGUGAUGGAUGAUAUUGUGAGACUCCUGUUGGAGCAGAUCAAGAGUGACAGUAAAAAGAUGGGAAAUGGUACAGGUGAGAGCUGAGAUGAUCUCCAGUAGAUCUGUCAGCCUCUAGAGAAGGAGUAUGAAGACAUGAGAAGGUUGUGAGAUGAACUGUGCAAUAAAGAAAGUUUUGUGCUGUUUCAGUAUUAUAUGUUAGUAACAAAAUAAAGUUAUUGUCAGUGCACAAUAUGCAGCUUCCUCAUUUUAUGGGAUUGAUGAGAAUAGUUUUAAACUGAUGAAAUGGGAUAUAGGAGAAAGUGCGAGACCCAUGUGAUGCUUAUACAAGCCUUGAGGGCACAGAAAAAUUAAAAUUGGAUAAAUGAGACUACAGGCAUGGAUAAAGGAACAAUAUUAUUAGGAGAUAGCUAGCAAGAAAAAAACAAGUCCUGCUGAUGGUAAAAAUUGUGAAGAUACAGUUAGUGGAAGGAUCCCACCUCAACUGGUUGGGAGUUUGGGUGAGGUCAUUGUGAAUCGUGGAAGUGUUGGUGCAUCAAUUUAAGGAUCCUGGAAGAUGCAUGGAAACCUGAGGGCUGCCUGUGCUGAAGGGAAAGAAGGUGUUAUCCAAAACAUGGAAAUGCAUCCAGGAAGGCGGCAAGUGGGUUCGGUUGGGUGUCUGUGCACAUUACAGGCAUAAAGCUUUGAGAAAGGAAAGAUGGGAUAAAGUAGAUCCUCCUGGAAUAAUAAAUGGGGAAAAAAAA